RNAcentral lists this ribosomal RNA (443 nucleotides) under uncultured bacterium. RNAcentral describes it as "partial 16S ribosomal RNA". It matches the Rfam family "Bacterial small subunit ribosomal RNA", at positions 338 to 795 of the family's 1533-position model. The record is from RNAcentral.
CCUACGGGCGGCAGCAGUGGGGAAUAUUGGGCAAUGGAGGCAACUCUGACCCAGCAACGCCGCGUGAAGGAUGAAGGUCUUCGGAUUGUAAAGUUCUUUUCUAAGGGAAGAAGAAAGUGACGCUACCUUAGGAAUAAGCCUCGGCUAACUACGUGCCAGCAGCCGCGGUAAUACGUAGGAGGCAAGCGUUAUCCGGAAUGACUGGUCGUAAGGGUGGCGUAGGUGGUUCAACAAGUUAGUAGGGAAACUCCGGAGCUCAACUUAGGACCUACUACUAAAACUGUUGGACUUGAGUGCAGGAGGGGCAAUCGGAAUUCCUAGUGUAGCGGUGGAAUGCGUAGAUAUUAGGAGGAACACCAGUGGCGAAGGCGGAUUGCUAGACUGUAACUGACACUGAGGCACGAAAGCGUGGGGAGCAAACAGGAUUAGAUACCCGUGUAGUC